UACGGAGGAUGCAAGCGUUAUCCGGAUUUAUUGGGUUUAAAGGGUGCGCAGGUUGUUUUAUAAGUCAGUGGUGAAAGUCUGCCGCUUAACGGAAGGAUUGCCAUUGAUACUAUAGGACUUGAGUAUGGAUGAGGUAGGCGGAAUGUGUAGUGUAGCGGUGAAAUGCAUAGAUAUUACACAGAACACCGAUUGCGGAGGCAGCUUACUAGGCCAUUACUGACGCUGAGGCACGAAAGCGUGGGGAUCAAACAGGAUUAGAAACCCUAGUAGUCC
Molecule: ribosomal RNA, 273 nt
Filed under: uncultured prokaryote
Description: partial 16S ribosomal RNA
Rfam family: Bacterial small subunit ribosomal RNA
Source: RNAcentral